UACUGUGAUUCCUGCAGCUAAUACUGGAAGUGAUAGUAGAAGAAGGACAGCUGUAAUUAGUACAGAUCAAACAAAUAAUGGUGUUUGAUAUUGAGUUAUAGCUGGAGGUUUUAUAUUAAUAGUAGUAGUAAUAAAAUUAAUAGCUCCUAAAAUAGAUGAUACACCACCCAGGUGUAAAGGGAAAAUUGUUAGGUCUACAGAUGCUCCAGCGUGGGCUAGAUUUUCCACCAACCAUAAAGGUAU
Non-coding RNA from Arvicanthis niloticus (Nile rat), 243 nucleotides. NCBI's taxonomy places the organism in Eukaryota, Metazoa, Chordata, Mammalia, Rodentia, Muridae. The record is from RefSeq and is a predicted model, not a curated record.